UCCCUCCUAAACGGAUAGAGCAGGCGCUCCUAGAAAAUUCCCAGCCUUAUCCUGUGCAUGUGUUCAAAUCCCUGGAAACCUGUGCGUCUCCUCUGAUGCGCGUUCAGCUCCUCCUCUCAGCUCAUGCACGCCAACUUCCAGGCCUUUCACCACUGCCAAUCAAAUCUCUCGCUCGACGCUGGUCACACGCACCACGCACGCCCAGCCGAGCUCCUGCUUCCCUCUCCCGCGGUGCCUGGCUUCCUCCAAGCUCGCCCCCAACCACAACCACGCCCUGGUCCGCGCUCCAGCCCUCCCCAUCCUCCUCUUGCUAUGGUGCCCAGCCGAGCUCUCUCCCCUUCCUGCCAUGGCCGACGCCCCUCCCUGCUGUAGCUCGAUGCCCUCCCCUGCAGCAAGCAGUGCCCUCCCCUUUCUGCAGCAAGUGGGUGCCCCCAGCCCCUCCUUUGUUCCCAUGGCCGGCCACCUCUGCUGCUUCCAUGGUGAUCUCUAAAUCCCUUUGUUGUUUUACUAGUUCUUGUUAAUACCCUGCUGAUGUGAGGUUUUAUGUGUGUUGAUGUGUGCGAUAUGGAGUAAAAUCCUUGGAGAAUUAGGUGGAGAAGAAGGUUAAGUUCAACACUCAUUAGGUGUUCGAUGAUAUGCUCGAACUGGUGGCCGUCUUCGUUCUUGCUGAAAUCGAGUCGGAGCAUGAUGUGGUUCGUUACACGUGAUGCGAAGGACAAGAGCCGAGUUGAUCCCAAAAUGAUGCUA
Molecule: non-coding RNA, 747 nt
Organism: Zea mays
Lineage: Eukaryota; Viridiplantae; Streptophyta; Magnoliopsida; Poales; Poaceae
Source: RefSeq, a predicted model, not a curated record